Molecule: ribosomal RNA, 422 nt
Filed under: uncultured bacterium
Lineage: Bacteria
Description: partial 16S ribosomal RNA
Rfam family: Bacterial small subunit ribosomal RNA
Source: RNAcentral
AAUUUUGGACAAUGGGGGAAACCCUGAUCCAGCCAUCCCGCGUGUAUGAUGAAGGCCUUCGGGUUGUAAAGUACUUUUGGCAGAGAAGAAAAGGUACCUCCUAAUACGAGGUACUGCUGACGGUAUCUGCAGAAUAAGCACCGACUAACUACGUGCCAGCAGCGGCGGUAAUACGUAGGGUGCAAUCGUUAAUCGGAAUUGCGGGGCGUAAAGCGGGUGUAGGGGGUUCGGAAAGAAAGAUGUGAAAUCCCAGGGCGCAACCUUGGAACUGCAUUUUUAACUGCCGAGCUAGAGUAUGUCAGAGGGGGGUAGAAUUCCACGUGUGGCAGUGAAAUGCGUAGAUAUGUGGAGGAAUACCGAUGGCGAAGGCAGCCCCCUGGGAUAAUACUGACGCUCAGACACGAAAGCGUGGGGAGCAAACA